RNAcentral lists this ribosomal RNA (2929 nucleotides) under Bacillus albus. RNAcentral's name for it is "bacterial LSU rRNA". It matches the Rfam family "Bacterial large subunit ribosomal RNA". The record is from RNAcentral. Lineage: Bacteria; Bacillati; Bacillota; Bacilli; Caryophanales; Bacillaceae.
UUUGGUUAAGUUAGAAAGGGCGCACGGUGGAUGCCUUGACACUAGGAGUCGAUGAAGGACGGGACUAACGCCGAUAUGCUUCGGGGAGCUGUAAGUAAGCUUUGAUCCGAAGAUUUCCGAAUGGGGAAACCCACCAUACGUAAUGGUAUGGUAUCCUUAUCUGAAUACAUAGGGUAAGGAAGACAGACCCAGGGAACUGAAACAUCUAAGUACCUGGAGGAAGAGAAAGCAAAUGCGAUUUCCUGAGUAGCGGCGAGCGAAACGGAACAUAGCCCAAACCAAGAGGCUUGCCUCUUGGGGUUGUAGGACAUUCUAUACGGAGUUACAAAGGAACGAGGUAGACGAAGCGACCUGGAAAGGUCCGUCGUAGAGGGUAACAACCCCGUAGUCGAAACUUCGUUCUCUCUUGAAUGUAUCCUGAGUACGGCGGAACACGUGAAAUUCCGUCGGAAUCUGGGAGGACCAUCUCCCAAGGCUAAAUACUCCCUAGUGAUCGAUAGUGAACCAGUACCGUGAGGGAAAGGUGAAAAGCACCCCGGAAGGGGAGUGAAAGAGAUCCUGAAACCGUGUGCCUACAAAUAGUCAGAGCCCGUUAAUGGGUGAUGGCGUGCCUUUUGUAGAAUGAACCGGCGAGUUACGAUCCCGUGCGAGGUUAAGCUGAAGAGGCGGAGCCGCAGCGAAAGCGAGUCUGAAUAGGGCGUUUAGUACGUGGUCGUAGACCCGAAACCAGGUGAUCUACCCAUGUCCAGGGUGAAGUUCAGGUAACACUGAAUGGAGGCCCGAACCCACGCACGUUGAAAAGUGCGGGGAUGAGGUGUGGGUAGCGGAGAAAUUCCAAUCGAACCUGGAGAUAGCUGGUUCUCCCCGAAAUAGCUUUAGGGCUAGCCUUAAGUGUAAGAGUCUUGGAGGUAGAGCACUGAUUGGACUAGGGGUCCUCAUCGGAUUACCGAAUUCAGUCAAACUCCGAAUGCCAAUGACUUAUCCUUAGGAGUCAGACUGCGAGUGAUAAGAUCCGUAGUCAAAAGGGAAACAGCCCAGACCGCCAGCUAAGGUCCCAAAGUGUGUAUUAAGUGGAAAAGGAUGUGGAGUUGCUUAGACAACUAGGAUGUUGGCUUAGAAGCAGCCACCAUUUAAAGAGUGCGUAAUAGCUCACUAGUCGAGUGACUCUGCGCCGAAAAUGUACCGGGGCUAAAUACACCACCGAAGCUGCGGAUUGAUACCAAUGGUAUCAGUGGUAGGGGAGCGUUCUAAGGACAGUGAAGUCAGACCGUAAGGACUGGUGGAGUGCUUAGAAGUGAGAAUGCCGGUAUGAGUAGCGAAAGACGGGUGAGAAUCCCGUCCACCGAAUGCCUAAGGUUUCCUGAGGAAGGCUCGUCCGCUCAGGGUUAGUCAGGACCUAAGCCGAGGCCGACAGGCGUAGGCGAUGGACAACAGGUUGAUAUUCCUGUACCACCUCUUUAUCGUUUGAGCAAUGGAGGGACGCAGAAGGAUAGAAGAAGCGUGCGAUUGGUUGUGCACGUCCAAGCAGUUAGGCUGAUAAGUAGGCAAAUCCGCUUAUCAUGAAGGCUGAGCUGUGAUGGGGAAGCUCCUUAUGGAGCGAAGUCUUUGAUUCCCCGCUGCCAAGAAAAGCUUCUAGCGAGAUAAAAGGUGCCUGUACCGCAAACCGACACAGGUAGGCGAGGAGAGAAUCCUAAGGUGUGCGAGAGAACUCUGGUUAAGGAACUCGGCAAAAUGACCCCGUAACUUCGGGAGAAGGGGUGCUUUCUUAACGGAAAGCCGCAGUGAAUAGGCCCAAGCGACUGUUUAGCAAAAACACAGCUCUCUGCGAAGCCGUAAGGCGAAGUAUAGGGGGUGACACCUGCCCGGUGCUGGAAGGUUAAGGAGAGGGGUUAGCGUAAGCGAAGCUCUGAACUGAAGCCCCAGUAAACGGCGGCCGUAACUAUAACGGUCCUAAGGUAGCGAAAUUCCUUGUCGGGUAAGUUCCGACCCGCACGAAAGGUGUAACGAUUUGGGCACUGUCUCAACCAGAGACUCGGUGAAAUUAUAGUACCUGUGAAGAUGCAGGUUACCCGCGACAGGACGGAAAGACCCCGUGGAGCUUUACUGUAGCCUGAUAUUGAAUUUUGGUACAUUUUGUACAGGAUAGGCGGGAGCCUUUGAAACCGGAGCGCUAGCUUCGGUGGAGGCGCUGGUGGGAUACCGCCCUGAAUGUAUUGAAAUUCUAACCUACGGGUCUUAUCGACCCGGGAGACAGUGUCAGGUGGGCAGUUUGACUGGGGCGGUCGCCUCCUAAAGUGUAACGGAGGCGCCCAAAGGUUCCCUCAGAAUGGUUGGAAAUCAUUCGUAGAGUGCAAAGGCAUAAGGGAGCUUGACUGCGAGACCUACAAGUCGAGCAGGGACGAAAGUCGGGCUUAGUGAUCCGGUGGUUCCGCAUGGAAGGGCCAUCGCUCAACGGAUAAAAGCUACCCCGGGGAUAACAGGCUUAUCUCCCCCAAGAGUCCACAUCGACGGGGAGGUUUGGCACCUCGAUGUCGGCUCAUCGCAUCCUGGGGCUGUAGUCGGUCCCAAGGGUUGGGCUGUUCGCCCAUUAAAGCGGUACGCGAGCUGGGUUCAGAACGUCGUGAGACAGUUCGGUCCCUAUCCGUCGUGGGCGUAGGAAAUUUGAGAGGAGCUGUCCUUAGUACGAGAGGACCGGGAUGGACGCACCGCUGGUGUACCAGUUGUUCUGCCAAGGGCAUAGCUGGGUAGCUAUGUGCGGAAGGGAUAAGUGCUGAAAGCAUCUAAGCAUGAAGCCCCCCUCAAGAUGAGAUUUCCCAUAGCGUAAGCUAGUAAGAUCCCUGAAAGAUGAUCAGGUUGAUAGGUUCGAGGUGGAAGCAUGGUGACAUGUGGAGCUGACGAAUACUAAUAGAUCGAGGACUUAACCAUAUAA